UUUGUUUACUUCUUCUAUUUUCUUCUUAUUAUAGAUUUGAUCCAAAGGCAGCUCAAGGCAUGGGGAGACAUUCCACAGACUUUGCUGGAGUGGAAGCAAAAGAACAGUAAGGCUCCAAAAUCACCAGUCCUUGUGGUAUUUUCAGAGGAGGUUGCUCACUUCAGGCAAAGGAGGCAAAUCCUGUCCUGCUUUCAACCUUCUGCACUGUUGAUAUCUUGCAGCUGUAAACAAGGUCUGCAGGAAGAGGACUGCUUCACUCUGAACAGGCUUCUUUCUUAUGCUUUUGCAAAAUUAGAGUGUGCUCCUACUAUCAUGAUGGCUGCUCUAACUUGCACCACUGUCUGUGUUCCUGAGGAUGCUUCGACUAGAUCUUCUCUUCGUGUUGUACACUUAAACAUACCUAUCAGUGCCUCCAGGACUGAUUACAGUGUUCAAUAUGUGAGUGGUGUGCAUUCUAACUUUGACCUGCCUGCCAAUAUUGGAAGCAUGUGGCAGCUGUGGUGA
Molecule: long non-coding RNA, 504 nt
Filed under: Anas platyrhynchos platyrhynchos (common mallard)
Lineage: Eukaryota; Metazoa; Chordata; Aves; Anseriformes; Anatidae
Description: lncRNA (ENSAPLG00000021856.1)
Source: RNAcentral